UGGGGUAUAGCUCAGUGGUAGAGCAUUUGACUGCAUAUCAAGAGGUCCCAGGUUCAUAUUCUGGUGCCCCCU
This 72-nucleotide transfer RNA is filed under the name Alosa alosa (allis shad). RNAcentral describes it as "tRNA-Cys". It matches the Rfam family "tRNA". Rfam says of the family: Transfer RNA (tRNA) molecules are approximately 80 nucleotides in length. The record is from RNAcentral. Lineage: Eukaryota; Metazoa; Chordata; Actinopteri; Clupeiformes; Clupeidae.